UACGGAGGGUGCAAGCGUUAUCCGGAUUCACUGGGUUUAAAGGGUGCGUAGGCGGGACAGUAAGUCAGUGGUGAAAUCCUAUCGCUUAACGAUAGAAUUGCCAUUGAUACUGCUGACCUUGAGUACAAAUGAUGUGGGCGGAAUGUGCAGUGUAGCGGUGAAAUGCUUAGAUAUUGCACAGAACACCGAUAGCGAAGGCAGCUCACAAAAAUGUAACUGACGCUGAGGCACGAAAGUAUGGGGAUCAAACAGG
Molecule: ribosomal RNA, 253 nt
Filed under: uncultured bacterium
Lineage: Bacteria
Description: partial 16S ribosomal RNA
Rfam family: Bacterial small subunit ribosomal RNA
Source: RNAcentral